Non-coding RNA from Leptonychotes weddellii (Weddell seal), 3218 nucleotides. The record is from RefSeq and is a predicted model, not a curated record. Lineage: Eukaryota; Metazoa; Chordata; Mammalia; Carnivora; Phocidae.
AAUAAAAUAAAAUGAUCCUAUCUGUUCAGUAAUUCUAAGAGAAAUGUAGGACCCUUUAUGGGAAAUAAUUGUGUUGCUCUUUUCCAAAGCAGCCAAAGUUUUCUACCCCAAGCAGCAAUUAAUAGUCUGCUUUCUUAACUAAAAGCGUUCUAAUGGGGGAUUUCACAGAGUCUACUGUUUCAAAGCCAUAAAGUCAAAUCUGGAACAUAAUACUGGGCAUAAGCCCACCUUGUUUUCUGUUUCUAUGCAAAGAAAGAAAGCAGGACAUAAAAUCACUUGUUCUGGAAAAGAUGUAGAGGAAUGAAGAAGAAUAAAAAAAAUGCAAGUGAAUACUGAAUGAAGGGACACCUCGCUGUAGAUGAAGAGAGGCAGCUCUUGGUCCUGGGAGACACUAGAAGCUGGGGUUUCUUUCCCUCAUUCUGGCUCAGGGAGCCUCUUGAUGGAGAAUCUGUCUUGGCCUGGGAGAAAACCCCAGUCCCAUGGAAUUUGCAUUUAGUUUGGGGCAAAGGCAACUCCUCACUAGGUCUGUCCCCUGCUUGUUUGCUCCCCAGCACCUGGAUGAAUUGUGCAGAAGAAGAAGUUGAACAAAUGUGAGAGGAACCCCAGGAAGGCUAGCAAGUCCCACUGGCCCUUUUCCAGCCCCUGGCCACACCCUGCAGGCCUGAGCCAGACUCUGAGUCAACACGGGAAGGGGGAUGGGGAGGGCAUAGCCGAUAGCUCAGGUGCCACCCUGGAAGCUCAGUCAGCACCAGAUGCAUUGGUUCCCACUAAUCAUCUGUGAUACUUUGGGAUUUUUCAGACUGUGGAGCCAAUUGUCACAAACAGUGCAAAGACCUCCUGGUUCUGGCCUGUAGGAGAUUUGCCCGGGCGCCCUCCUUGGGCAGUAGUCAUGGGUCGCUGCCUGGAAGUCCCUCGUUGCCCCCAGUGCAGGAUGAGGUGUUCGAGUUCCCUGGAGUCACUGCUGGACACCGAGACCUGGACAGCAGAGCCAUCACGCUGGUCACAGGCUCUUCUCGCAAGAUCUCCGUGAGGCUGCAGCGGGCUACCACCAGCCAGGCCACCCAGACCGAACCUGUAUGGUCAGAGGCUGGCUGGGGGGACUCAGGGUCCCACACCUUCCCCAAAAUGAAAUCCAAGUUCCAUGACAAAGCAGCAAAGGACAAGGGUUUUGCCAAGUGGGAAAACGAGAAGCCCAGGGUGCAGGCUGGCGUGGAUGUGGUUGACCGGGGCACCGAGUUCGAGCCUGACCAGGAUGAAGCAGAUGUGGGUGAGACCAGACAGGAUGGUGAGGAUGGCUGACUUCAGGCUGAGGACACUGGAGGCAAUAAUGUUGGCAUUUGGAAGGAGCAAGAUGAGAAAUUCUGAAGAACACUCCAACUCAGGAAGUUAUCUGAAAAGAUAUCUUGGACUUUUACUGCCUGGUGACACCAUGGGGUCUCCCUGAUUGGACUGUGGGACAGAGGAUUUACCCUAUGAACUACUUAUUUCCUCCUCCCCAGGCCCUAGUCAGGUGUCACCAAGUCUGGGCGAUGUAGUUGGUAGAUUUCUCUGUGUCUUUCCGUAGAGCCAUUUAUAUAUGAGUGAAGUGAAAGCUUUUCUGCAUGUACUUGAUACUCGUUCUCUAAACUCUACUUUUUUGUGAGAAUAUUAUUUCAGUAUUUUGUAAACUUUUGGUGGGGAGGAGUCAAUUUAGAGGUCUUUUUUUUGUGUGUGUGUGUGCUUUUUGGACGGGACCAGGACUUAUUUUCUUGAGGGACAAGAAAGCUCUUCAGAUCCUGGAAUGAGGUGGUUCUUCUAAUACAAGGAGAUGUUUACAUUGUUCUUACCCUACAGUUGCUAUUACGAUGUGUAACAAGUCAUACAUUUAUAUUCACAUAAGUCUUACCAAUUCUGCAUCAUAAGGAAACUAUGACACAGCCAUGAAAACUCUCCUGAUAUUUAUAAUUGCCGUGGGGGAAAAUUAAGUAUACUUGUCUUAGUGACUAGGUUUAGCCAUCUUUCUUAGGACUCCUGUUAAGACUGCCAGUAAGAAAUUUGGAUGGUGAUUACAAAAUCAAUUAAAGUUUCAGGGGAUAAAAUUUAGGAGAAAAACAAACCAACAAGCAAACCACUUAGUGAAAUGAAAAACAAUCAGCAAUUCUUUAAAAACUCAAAAUAGUUUUAAGAACUUUGUUAGAAAUGAAAAGUUUUGGUUAUAAGAGAGAACUUUUGUCCUCUUCCUAAGAAAUUGCCAUCCGUAAUUAAAAGAAUAGUCAUAGAAAUCCAAUCAUCAGAAACCACCUUGGAUUAACAUUUCAUUUCAGCUUUUAAAGUAUCAGUAUUUUCAAUGUUUCCCUUUGACCUAAAUAGCUAGACAUGGGUCUGUUUUUUAUAUGAUUAGAGGAGAGCAAACUUAGUUCAAAGUGUUCAAAUAGAGAGAUUGGAUUGAGCCAAAGGAUGAGGGGAUUGACCUGCUGCCACGUGACCAGUGAGAAAUUGUACCCACAGAAGUGCACUCAUUUUCAUUGGGAGUUUAAAUGUGUAUACCAUAUAAGACUGAAUUUAUUUCUAUUUGGGGCAGUCACUUCAGUAAAGAAAUCCUUCUCUUUUUCCAUUAGAUAAAAUUGAGGACAGUUCUACUUAGCAAACACUUGACCACCUGCUCUGGGCAGGUCCUGCACUAGAUGCACAAAGACAAGCAACAUUUGAUCUCUAUCCUCAGGAGAGAUGGUUCCUUAAAGUACAGUUCCAGAUUUGCUAGGACGGACUUAAUUGUGCCAAACAGAUUGAGAAAUCGAUUUGCAGAAACAUUGCAAAUUAAAUGAAGUUAUUAGUUGACGGAGCUUUGAAUAAUCUAUGUAAUAAGAGAACUCACCAUUUGCAAAGCACCUCAAAAAGCAAGCAGCCAUCCCUGAGUGUUGGCUCUGUGUAUAUAUACUAUCUAUUCCUAUUCAUAAAUGCAAUGAAAUACAUGUUAACAAAAUUAAAAAACAGAAAAUGGCAACUUAAGUACAUGAAAAUUCUUGUGUGUUUUUUUUACUUUUAAGAAAAUUCAGGAAGAAAAUUUGGAUUAUUAUUUUUCCUCUCAAAGCAAUUAUUUCACUUGUCACUUUGUUUGAGUUAUUUGAGUUUUCAUAUAUAAGAAGAGUUUUAUAUUAUCAGCCUUCCUGUGACAAAGAUAUUAAAUGUACCUCAACUAAAAAGCAAAUAAAUACAAACAACAAAGAAAAUAAAACAAA